RNAcentral lists this ribosomal RNA (377 nucleotides) under uncultured bacterium. Its description in RNAcentral is "bacterial SSU rRNA". It matches the Rfam family "Bacterial small subunit ribosomal RNA", at positions 521 to 896 of the family's 1533-position model. The record is from RNAcentral.
UAAUACGGAGGGGGCCAGCGUUGUUCGGAAUCAUUGGGCGUAAAGGGCGCGUAGGCGGCUUCGUAAGUCGGACGUGAAAUCCCUCGGCUCAACUGAGGAACUGCGUCCGAUACUGCAAAGCUUGAGUCCCGGAGAGGGUAGCGGAAUUCCCAGUGUAGCGGUGAAAUGCGUAGAUAUUGGGAGGAACAUCGGUGGCGAAGGCGGCUACCUGGACGGGUACUGACGCUGAGGCGCGAAAGCGUGGGGAGCAAACAGGAUUAGAUACCCUGGUAGUCCACGCUGUAAACGAUGGGCACUUGGUGUUGCGGGUAUCGACCCCUGCAGUGCCGAAGCUAACGCAUUAAGUGCCCCGCCUGGGGAGUACGGUCGCAAGGCUG